This 811-nucleotide ribosomal RNA is filed under the name Micromonospora sp. 41718. Its description in RNAcentral is "bacterial SSU rRNA". It matches the Rfam family "Bacterial small subunit ribosomal RNA", at positions 61 to 889 of the family's 1533-position model. Lineage: Bacteria; Bacillati; Actinomycetota; Actinomycetes; Micromonosporales; Micromonosporaceae. The record is from RNAcentral.
GUCGAGCGGAAGGCCCUUCGGGGUACUCGAGCGGCGAACGGGUGAGUAACACGUGAGCAACCUGCCCUAGGCUUUGGGAUAACCCCGGGAAACCGGGGCUAAUACCGAAUAGGACCUCUGACCGCAUGGUUGGUGGUGGAAAGUUUUUCGGCCUGGGAUGGGCUCGCGGCCUAUCAGCUUGUUGGUGGGGUGAUGGCCUACCAAGGCGACGACGGGUAGCCGGCCUGAGAGGGCGACCGGCCACACUGGGACUGAGACACGGCCCAGACUCCUACGGGAGGCAGCAGUGGGGAAUAUUGCACAAUGGGCGGAAGCCUGAUGCAGCGACGCCGCGUGAGGGAUGACGGCCUUCGGGUUGUAAACCUCUUUCAGCAGGGACGAAGCGUAAGUGACGGUACCUGCAGAAGAAGCACCGGCCAACUACGUGCCAGCAGCCGCGGUAAGACGUAGGGUGCGAGCGUUGUCCGGAUUUAUUGGGCGUAAAGAGCUCGUAGGCGGCUUGUCGCGUCGACUGUGAAAACCCGCAGCUCAACUGCGGGCCUGCAGUCGAUACGGGCAGGCUAGAGUUCGGUAGGGGAGACUGGAAUUCCUGGUGUAGCGGUGAAAUGCGCAGAUAUCAGGAGGAACACCGGUGGCGAAGGCGGGUCUCUGGGCCGAUACUGACGCUGAGGAGCGAAAGCGUGGGGAGCGAACAGGAUUAGAUACCCUGGUAGUCCACGCUGUAAACGUUGGGCGCUAGGUGUGGGGGGCCUCUCCGGUUCCCUGUGCCGCAGCUAACGCAUUAAGCGCCCCGCCUGGGGAGUACGGCCGC